RNAcentral lists this long non-coding RNA (2540 nucleotides) under Prunus dulcis (almond). RNAcentral describes it as "sRNA ncRNA". The record is from RNAcentral. Lineage: Eukaryota; Viridiplantae; Streptophyta; Magnoliopsida; Rosales; Rosaceae.
AACCUCUCGGUCCGGUUAAUUGCCUCUUGCACCAUCGAAUGACCCUACCGAAACCCAGACGAAGAACCCCCAAAUUUUACCCAUAAAACCAAACUCAGACCGCUGCCUCCUCCAGCUCAAAGGCGAAAGGUGUAGUUGUUUCUUUUCUCCUCUUCUUUUCCUAAUUUGAUCUGCAUAUUAUAAUUUGAUAAUUUUUGGAAGGUUUGAAAAUUUGAAAGCAGAACUAUCUUGUGUAUUUUAACGAUUGAUUUACGAAUCCCUGCAUCAUGAGUUUCAGUUUCCAGAUUAAUUAAUCAGUAUCUUGUGGAUUUUAACAGGUGCGAAAUCUCUAGUUGUUUGGACUCAGGUAAAUUUGUUGUCGAAGCCACUUUUGAAUAUGUGUUUGUGAUUCUGUCGAAGUCACUCUUGGCCUCCUUCUUUUCAUUGUGAACUUGGACUCUUCAAAGGUGACAUGUUUGAAUCAUUUUUAGGGUUCCAUUUGACAGCGCACUCGCACUAGCCCAAAUUUCUUUAUAAUUAGGGAGUCUGUGAAUCAUAUUGCAUUUCAAGAUAUGAACUUUGCCCUUAUCUACACUUGCACUAACCUUCAAUUGUCAUCAUAAAUUUGCUACAUUUUCCUAAUGCUUGAAUUCCUUGUUUUUUUUCUCUCUCUUUUUGAAGGAGAUUAAUUAAUUAAUUAAUUAAUUAGUUAACGCAUUCAUUCAAAUGAAGGAUUGAGGCAGUUUUUGCAACAAAUAUUUUGAUACGAAGAUGCUUCUUUGAGCCUGGAAAUGCAAAUAUAUUGACCAAAACCAAUGAAUAGGAGGGAUUCGCAUGCUAGGCAGUAGUAAGAGUAGCAACAUAGUAGUCAUUUACUGUUUAAGCUAAUUUUGAGUUAGUCCCUACCCUUUUACCCAUUUAUCUUGAUUAUUAAUGGUCAUCUAUCUCUAUGGUAGGUAUUAACUGCAGCAUUAUGAUUAAAUGUCAUCUUCUGCUUUCCUCGAAUUUACUAAUUCAUGACUCUUAGAUUCUCCUCAUUUUUUUUUUUAACUUCCUUGAGCUUGUGGAUGUAUCUUUUAAAAAUAUCCAUUACAAUUGUGGUACACAUGGAUGUUGAGGUAAUUCAUAAUUUUCAUAUAACAGAGGCACAAGUGCUGUACAUGACAAUUGACAUUAGGUACAAUUUGUCUUAAUAUCUUGGAAAAAUUUGGUGUAGAGGAAUGGAAAUAGGCUUGAAGAUGAGCUGCCCCUUGAAGCAAAUGGGAGACUACACCAAGUCAAGGAGAAGGAGCUUAAUUAAUGGUAUUUUAAGGUUGUUGAUGAGCACAUGUUAUAUCUUAAUGUAUAUUCCUAAAAUAUAUUUAUUAGUCCUUUUUAUCUGAUAAAUUUAGUUUAUUUUGAUGAAAUUUUGUAUUGAUUAGAGUUAGAGACAUAAGGUUAAAUUUGGUGCACUACUUUGACUAAUUGUGGCUUCUAUUUGUUAUUGUUGGAGUUUUUCUUUUCUUUCUAAUUUUAUGUCUUUCUUUUUAAGGUACAAUAGACACGUUAGCUGGACACUUAUUUGGUAAUAUGUUGCAGGUAUUUUUCUCUAACAACAAAUGACGUGGAGAGAUAGUCUAGAGUCCUGAAUCUUUGCAUCAUGAGGAGGAUAUGGUUCAGUGGACAGAAAGUUAAGGCCAUGGGCUAAAGCUUUAUAGGCUGUUCUGUUUGAAAACCACAACUAGGUUGGUGCAUAUCUCUGUGUUUUGACGUGGGUUUAUCAAAUUGUUAUUGGUUCUUGAAUGCUUAUGUGAUCUUGAUUUAUCAUUGAUUGAAAUAACUCCAAGAGAUUAUGUACAUUGAUUCCCAUUUGUUUCUUCAAUGCGAAAUUUAAUUACUAUAUUGUCUACUCAUUCAAAUCAGAAAGUUACUUCUUUUGUAACAAUGGAGAAAUAAUCCUUUUACUUAUGGUAAACUGAUAUGUGAUCAUUGCCCUUUCCCUUUUUUUAUUCUUCACAUUUUCUGGAUAUCAGGAAGAAGACUGCAUAAUCAAGCAAGUUGGGAGACCCGGUGCUAAAAGAUUGUCUGUUCUUGCAAAGUUCUUACCAGGUUGAGUUAAUACUGUGAAAACUCACUUCCAGAUCUUGAGAGAACCAAUGAAAUGAAUGAUAAUAUGCAAAUUAGUUUGGUUUCCAAUUUAUAGGCAUUCUGUUUGUAUUUUAUUUAUAUUGAUAUAUACCUUAGCAUAUAGAGAGUACCUUACAAUUACCUUUUGGACAGAGGAAAGCCAAUACUCAAUUGAGUGAUUGUGGCAAAUCCAAUCAAGCAAGGAGAAACUCAAUGGCGAAUCAAGUCAAGCAAGGAGGAGCUGAAUGGUAGGUAAUGGUGAAUAGCAAGGUGGAGCUUAAUGAAAUUCUGUAUUUAUUCUCUUUUCCAAGUAAGUUUUUGGUUUUUAAUAUCAUAACUGUAAUAUCCUUGUUAAAGAGGUUGACCACUUGCAAUACUUGGUCUAUUUUCAGUAUGAAAAUAUUAAUGUAAUAGUCCUAAGGAUAGGUCCACCACAUGCAUCCCUAAACCCUAAA